GAGUCAAAUGCUUGCUCUCAUAAGGACAAGGCGUGAUGAGGAGCGAAAUUAAAGUAGCGAAGGCUGCGACGUCACACUGCCGAGAAAAGCUUCUAGCCAGAGACGGUGCACCCGUACCGCAAACCGACACAGGUAGUCGAGGAGAGUAUCCUCAGGUGAGCGAGAGAACUCUCGUUAAGGAACUCGGCAAAAUGGCCCCGUAACUUCGGGAGAAGGGGCGCUGGUCGCAAGAUCAGCCGCAGUGAAAAGGCCCAAGCAACUGUUUAUCAAAAACACAGGCAUCUGCAAAAUCGUAAGAUGAAGUAUAGGUGCUGACACCUGCCCGGUGCUGGAAGGUUAAGAGGAGAGCUUAGCGCAAGCGAAGGUUUGAAUUGAAGCCCCAGUAAACGGCGGCCGUAACUAUAACGGUCCUAAGGUAGCGAAAUUCCUUGUCGGGUAAGUUCCGACCUGCACGAAAGGUGUAAUGAUUUGGGCACUGUCUCAACGAGAGACUCGGUGAAAUUAUAAUACCCGUGAAGAUGCGGGUUACCCGCGACAGGACGGAAAGACCCCAUGGAGCUUUACUGCAGUUUAAUAUUGGGUAUCUGUCAAGCAUGUACAGGAUAGGUAGGAGCCGGAGAAGAUAGGACGCCAGUCUUAUCUGAGGCGCUGUUGGGAUACUACCCUUGCUUGACGGAUGCUCUAACUCAGGCCUGUGAUCCAGGCCGAGGACAGUGUUUGACGGGCAGUUUGACUGGGGCGGUCGCCUCCUAAAGUGUAACGGAGGCGCCCAAAGGUUCCCUCAGAAUGGUUGGAAAUCAUUCGCAGAGUGUAAAGGUAAAAGGGAGCUUGACUGCGAGAGAGACAACUCGAGCAGGUACGAAAGUAGGGCUUAGUGAUCUGGUGGUACCGUAUGGAAGGGCCAUCACUCAACGGAUAAAAGCUACCCUGGGGAUAACAGGCUUAUCUCCCCCAAGAGUUCACAUCG
Molecule: ribosomal RNA, 967 nt
Filed under: Lactobacillus delbrueckii subsp. bulgaricus
Lineage: Bacteria; Bacillati; Bacillota; Bacilli; Lactobacillales; Lactobacillaceae
Description: partial 23S ribosomal RNA
Rfam family: Bacterial large subunit ribosomal RNA
Source: RNAcentral